Molecule: ribosomal RNA, 1336 nt
Filed under: uncultured bacterium
Lineage: Bacteria
Description: bacterial SSU rRNA
Rfam family: Bacterial small subunit ribosomal RNA
Source: RNAcentral
GACGAACGCUGGCGGCGCGCCUAACACAUGCAAGUCGAACGGAGCUUAGAGAGCUUGCUUUUUAAGCUUAGUGGCGAACGGGUGAGUAACGCGUGAGUAACCUGCCCUAGAGUGGGGGACAACAGUUGGAAACGACUGCUAAUACCGCAUAAGCCCCACGGUACCGCAUGGUACUGAGGGAAAAGGAUUUAUUCGCUUUAGGAUGGACUCGCGUCCAAUUAGCUAGUUGGUGAGGUAACGGCCCACCAAGGCGACGAUUGGUAGCCGGACUGAGAGGUUGAACGGCCACAUUGGGACUGAGACACGGCCCAGACUCCUACGGGAGGCAGCAGUGGGGGAUAUUGCACAAUGGGGGAAACCCUGAUGCAGCGACGCCGCGUGGAGGAAGAAGGUUUUCGGAUUGUAAACUCCUGUCGUUAGGGACGAUAAUGACGGUACCUAACAAGAAAGCACCGGCUAACUACGUGCCAGCAGCCGCGGUAAAACGUAGGGUGCAAGCGUUGUCCGGAAUUACUGGGUGUAAAGGGAGCGCAGGCGGGAAGACAAGUUGGAAGUGAAAACCAUGGGCUCAACCCAUGAAUUGCUUUCAAAACUGUUUUUCUUGAGUAGUGCAGAGGUAGAUGGAAUUCCCGGUGUAGCGGUGGAAUGCGUAGAUAUCGGGAGGAACACCAGUGGCGAAGGCGGUCUACUGGGCACCAACUGACGCUGAGGCUCGAAAGCAUGGGUAGCAAACAGGAUUAGAUACCCUGGUAGUCCAUGCCGUAAACGAUGAUUACUAGGUGUUGGGGGAUUGACCCCCUCAGUGCCGCAGUUAACACAAUAAGUAAUCCACCUGGGGAGUACGACCGCAAGGUUGAAACUCAAAGGAAUUGACGGGGGCCCGCACAAGCAGUGGAGUAUGUGGUUUAAUUCGAAGCAACGCGAAGAACCUUACCAGGUCUUGACAUCCGAUGCAUAACACAGAGAUGUGUGAAAUCCUUCGGGACAUCGAGACAGGUGGUGCAUGGUUGUCGUCAGCUCGUGUCGUGAGAUGUUGGGUUAAGUCCCGCAACGAGCGCAACCCUUAUUGCCAGUUACUACGUUAAGAGGACUCUGGCGAGACUGCCGUUGACAAAACGGAGGAAGGUGGGGAUGACGUCAAAUCAUCAUGCCCUUUAUGACCUGGGCUACACACGUACUACAAUGGCGUUAAACAAAGAGAAGCAAGACCGCGAGGUGGAGCAAAACUCAAAAACAACGUCUCAGUUCAGAUUGCAGGCUGCAACUCGCCUGCAUGAAGUCGGAAUUGCUAGUAAUCGCGGAUCAGCAUGCCGCGGUGAAAUACGUUCCCGGGCCU